CCUACGGGUGGCAGCAGUGGGGAAUAUUGCGCAAUGGGCGAAAGCCUGACGCAGCGACGCCGCGUGAGGGAUGAAGGUCUUCGGAUCGGAAACCUCUGUCAGCAGGGAAGAACGGUCACUGUGCUAAUCAGCAGUGAAUUGACGGUACCUGCAAAGGAAGCACCGGCUAACUCCGUGCCAGCAGCCGCGGUAAUACGGAGGGUGCGAGCGUUAAUCGGAAUUACUGGGCGUAAGGCGCUCGUAGGCGGUAUGUCAAGGCAAGGGUGAAAUCCCCGGGCUCAACGUGGGAACUGCCUUUGAAGCUGGCAAACUGGAGUGUGUGAGAGGAUAGUGGAAUUCCAGGUGUAGGAGUGAAAUCCGUAGAUAUCUGGAGGAACAUCAGUGGCGAAGGCGUCUAUCUGGCACAUAACUGACGCUGAGGAGCGAAAGCGUGGGUAGCAAACAGGAUUAGAUACCCCUGUAGUC
Molecule: ribosomal RNA, 465 nt
Filed under: uncultured bacterium
Lineage: Bacteria
Description: partial 16S ribosomal RNA
Rfam family: Bacterial small subunit ribosomal RNA
Source: RNAcentral